CGAGCACGCGCGUGUGGCAUAUCAAUAAGCGGAGGAAAAGAAACUAACAAGGAUUCCCUUAGUAACGGCGAGUGAAGCGGGAAGAGCUCAAAUUUGAAAUCUUCAAGGUUCUACCUUGACGAAUUGUAGUUUAUAGAAGUGUUUUCUGUUAGUAGGAGUGGCAAAAGUUCUUUGGAAUAGGACAUCAUAGAGGGUGAGAAUCCCGUAUUUGGUCAUUCUCUUCUAGCUUUGUGAUACACUUUCAACGAGUCGGAUUGUUUGGGAAUGCAGUCCAAAAUGGGUGGUAAAUUUCAUCUAAAGCUAAAUAUUGGCGAGAGACCGAUAGCGAACAAGUACCGUGAGGGAAAGAUGAAAAGAACUUUGAAAAGAGAGUUAAACAGUACGUGAAAUUGUCAAAAGGGAAGCGUUUGACACCAGUGUUGUUUUUCCGAAAAUCAAUUACGAAUGUUUUAUUUUUGAGGAGUUAUGACUUCAUCGGCUUGCUCCUUUCUUUAUGAAACUUUCUUAAUGCACUUUUCGGUUAACAAGUCAACAUCAAUUUCUUUUGUUGUAAAAGGGUAUGAGGAAGGUGGCUUUCUUUUCGGAGAAAGUGUUUAUAGCCUUGUGCCUCUGCAAUCGGAGAGAUUGAGGUCUGCAGCGUAGAUCCUUCGGGGUUAGAUACGUUUGUGCUAAGUUAUAGCUUUUCAUAGACAACUUGUUGACUAUGUUUAGUCUUGUAGCUUACUCGCUUACGCUAUUUUACCUACGCUUAGGAUGUUGAUGUGAUACUGCGAGCA
Molecule: ribosomal RNA, 776 nt
Filed under: uncultured Neocallimastigales
Lineage: Eukaryota; Fungi; Neocallimastigomycota; Neocallimastigomycetes; Neocallimastigales
Description: partial large subunit ribosomal RNA
Rfam family: Eukaryotic large subunit ribosomal RNA
Source: RNAcentral